RNAcentral lists this ribosomal RNA (422 nucleotides) under uncultured Methanomicrobiales archaeon. RNAcentral's name for it is "bacterial SSU rRNA". It matches the Rfam family "Archaeal small subunit ribosomal RNA", at positions 319 to 746 of the family's 1478-position model. Lineage: Archaea; Methanobacteriati; Methanobacteriota; Methanomicrobia; Methanomicrobiales. The record is from RNAcentral.
UUCCUACGGGUGGCUGCAGGCGCGAAAACUUUACAAUGCGAGAAAUCGUGAUAAGGGAACCCCGAGUGCCCGUAAAUUCGGGCUGUCCGCCAGUGCAAAAAACUGGUGAAGAAAGAGCCGGGCAAGACCGGUGCCAGCCGCCGCGGUAAUACCGGCGGCUCGAGUGGUGGCCACUAUUACUGGGCUUAAAGCGUCCGUAGCUUGGUUGUUAAGUCUCCUGGGAAAUCCAUCGGCUCAACCGAUGGGCGUUAAGGAGAUACUGGCAACCUAGGGACCGGGAGAGGUGAGAGGUACUCCAGGGGUAGGAGUGAAAUCCUGUAAUCCUUGGGGGACCACCUGUGGCGAAGGCGUCUCACUAGAACGGCUCCGACAGUGAGGGACGAAAGCUGGGGGAGCAAACCGGAUUAGAUACCCGAGUAGUC